GCAGCCGCGGUAAUACGUAGGUGGCAAGCGUUAUCCGGAUUUACUGGGUGUAAAGGGUGUGUAGGCGGGAAAGCAAGUCAGAUGUGAAAAUUAUGGGCUCAACUCAUAACCUGCGUCUGAAACUACUUUUCUUGAGAGUCGGAGGGGUAAACGGAAUUCCUGGUGUAGCGGUGAAAUGCGUAGAUAUCAGGAGGAACACCGGUGGCGAAGGCGGUUUACUGGACGACAACUGACGCUGAGACACGAAAGUGUGGGGAGCAAACAGGAUUAGAUACCCC
RNAcentral lists this ribosomal RNA (278 nucleotides) under uncultured bacterium. Its description in RNAcentral is "partial 16S ribosomal RNA". It matches the Rfam family "Bacterial small subunit ribosomal RNA", at positions 511 to 788 of the family's 1533-position model. The record is from RNAcentral.